UUAAAGUACGGUGCAACAAUCUACAUUGAUUCAAAUAGAGUGAAGUCGUCUUCUUCCGGAACAUCAUCAUCACUCCCCAAACCCCAAGUUCCAUCCUGAAUGUCCUGCGACUCUGUUUCCUUUAGACCCACCGGCCCCAUCUCUCCCGUGGAGCCACAGAGCUGUCACGGGCGGAUGAGAAGGGCUGCUCGGCGUCUUCCCGCCCCGUGCCGACACGCAUGCGCUGUGCAGACGCGCCGCGUGGCCACGCCGUCACCAGGGCUGAUUUCCGGGUGGGGCUUCUAUUGCGCAUGCUCAGACAUCCUGCUGGGGCUUAUUUUAUGAGUAGGUCUUAUUUUCGGGGAAACAGGUAGUUACUCCUUCCAAUCGCCUAUCUCAGUGUCUCCACGGGGCGCCGUUGAGUGGUAGGGAAACACGGUAAAUGGAAGUGUCUAAAAUUGAGUCCUUAGAUAUGCCAACAUUCAGAAGCCAGAGAAGAGCCAGCGGAGGAGACUGAGAAAAAGUCACUGAGAUCAUUCAUUCCAGGGAGAGCCAGUAGUCACGUGAGAGCACCCAAGCAGCUCUGCAGACAGGAAGCAACUUGUAGCAACAACUCACCAUCCAUGGAAGUAUGUCUCCUGGAAGUGAAUCUCCUAUCCCCAAGCAAGCCUUCAGAUGACUGCAGCCUUGGCUGACACCUUACUACAACCUCAACCCAGCCAGAAACACCCAAUAAAGCCACUCCCAAAUUUCUAUCCAUAGUAAUUGUAAAAUAUAAUACAUUAGAUUACUGUUAUUUCAAGCCACUAAGUUUUUGGGGAUGAUUUGCUAUGCAACAAUAAAUAACCAACACAGUGACCAACUGGCAUAAUAUUAGCUAAGGUGUGACUUGGAAUUAGGCCAAAGAUUAUAGGUUGCCAGAGAUUUUAUCAACCAGAAAGCCUUCCAAAUCUAUGUAAGUCUCACAAAAUCUCCAUCAUUAGCUAGUUAAUUCCUUGACUAUAUCUUUCAAAAUUAACACCUAGAUCACAAGUUUGAAACUGCCCUUCAAUAACAGGGUACAAGGCGAGAACUAUGGUAAAGACCUAGCUAAAAAAUAAUGAUAAUAAUUAGUUGCUGUCCCCCUGUUUGCUUUUCUAUACUUGUCACUCCAGAGCCACAUAGCUGGUGGUCAUAAAGAUUCUUAACUUUCUCUAUAGAUAUUAAUAAACAUCACACUUUUGAAACCUAAAGGUAGCUUUAAAGAUAUCUUUGCUAACUGGACUUCUGCCCACCCACCAUGCCAAUGCCUGUCUCACCAGCCUCAUAUGAAAAGGCCAUUUGUUUCAGGGCGUGGACUAUAAAGAUGUGUCUGUGUUGCCAGGGUCCAAUGUGAGUUCUUAUUCUCAUGGCCUGUAUUAAUUCUUAUUCUUUUUCUCUAGAAAAGAGUAUUUAUUCAACUGCUCAUAUUCAAGGUUGCACAUCACUAUUACCAGGGAAUUCGUGAAGUGAAUAAAGCUAGUCUGUGAAUAAAUAACGAUUCCUGAGUUUUGAACCAGACAUAAUAAAUAGAGAUCCUUAUUGCUGCAGUGACCUCACUCAUAUUUUUAAGAAAUACCUCCUCAGGUGAUGCUGACGGACGGCAUCAGUCAUCAGCCGUAGGCGAACAUCUGGGAAGCCGUUGCCUCGAUGGGGUCUGGACUGGGAGACGCAUGAGAUGGGGAUGUGAGGGGGAAACACAGCUGGACAAUCCCAAGAUUAUGAAACAUUUACAUAGAUUUUCUUUUUUCC
Microcebus murinus (gray mouse lemur) is the source of this 1749-nucleotide non-coding RNA. The record is from RefSeq and is a predicted model, not a curated record. NCBI's taxonomy places the organism in Eukaryota, Metazoa, Chordata, Mammalia, Primates, Cheirogaleidae.